CACGUAGGGGGCGAGCGUUAAUCGGAAUUACUGGGCGUAAAGGGUGCGCAGGCGGUUUUGUAAGCCAGAUGUGAAAUCCCCGGGCUUAACCUGGGAAUGGCAUUUGGGACUGCAAGGCUAGAGUGUGGCAGAGGAGACUGGAAUUCCUGGUGUAGCAGUGAAAUGCGUAGAUAUCAGGAGGAAUACCGAUGGCGAAGGCAGGUCUCUGGGCUGACACUGACGCUCAUGCACGAAAGCGUGGGGAGCAAACAGG
RNAcentral lists this ribosomal RNA (253 nucleotides) under uncultured bacterium. RNAcentral's name for it is "partial 16S ribosomal RNA". It matches the Rfam family "Bacterial small subunit ribosomal RNA", at positions 524 to 776 of the family's 1533-position model. The record is from RNAcentral.